UACCCCUAGCAAAUCUCAAAAAACCGGCCUCAGUACAGAUAGAAGUCUGCAACUCGACUUCUUGAAGUUGGAAUCGCUAGUAAUCGCUGAUCAGCACAGCAGCGGUGAAUACGUUCCCGGGCCUUGUACACACCGCCCGUCACACCAUGGGAGUGGGCUGCUACAGAAGUCGGUGCGCCAACCGCGAGGGGGCAGCCGCCUAAGAAGUGGUCAGCGACUGGGGUGAAG
Molecule: ribosomal RNA, 228 nt
Filed under: uncultured Nitrobacter sp.
Lineage: Bacteria; Pseudomonadati; Pseudomonadota; Alphaproteobacteria; Hyphomicrobiales; Nitrobacteraceae
Description: partial 16S ribosomal RNA
Rfam family: Bacterial small subunit ribosomal RNA
Source: RNAcentral